This 207-nucleotide unclassified non-coding RNA is filed under the name uncultured Phaeocollybia. RNAcentral's name for it is "sequence contains ITS2". Lineage: Eukaryota; Fungi; Basidiomycota; Agaricomycetes; Agaricales; Cortinariaceae. The record is from RNAcentral.
AAUUCUCAAAGAAAACCUUUGGUAGCAAUAUCAAUGGCCCUUUCUUUGGAUGUGAGGGUUUAUUGUUGGCGUAAGUCAACUCCCUUGAAAUGAAUUAGCUAGGUUGACUAGACUUUGUCUAUUGGUGUGAUAAUUAUCUACGCCAUUAGAUUGUCUGCUUGUUAAACUGCUUCUAAUUGUCCCUUUGGGGACUUUAUUUAAAUGACC